GCAAACAAAAAAGAUCUGUGGGUGAAAAGUAUAAAUAUAAGGGAUUCGUUAUGCUGCAAAAAUACAUGGUACGAAAUUGCACUCAGCUCAUUACCAGACAAUGGAGCUCAGUACAAAUCCGAAAGAGAAGCCAGUGUUGGUGGAGCCCCCUGUGGCCUGCACUUCUCCAGAGCAGUUAGUGGGUAGCCACUGUGCUUUUACUUCACCUUGUAGUCGGCAGCGAGGCAAGGAAAAGGUCCGCCUUCCUUUAUUUCCCUCCUCUGCCUACACAAAGGCUUUCUGUGAGAGGGCUUGGUACAGCAGAGCAGGAGAGAGAGAGUUUGUUGGCUUUUGGGCACAGCCCCUCCUUUCUGCAGAUGGGGACAUGUGGCUUCUACAGCUGCACAUAGCUUACCCCACUGGCCAAAGCCAGCAGUCGGUACACGGAGAGCCUGCUGGCUGAUGAGAACAGGGCCCGAUGGGAUGGGAACCAGCUUGCAACAGCGUUCUUUGCAGAUGCUGGGAAGGAAAAAAACUGUUUGUGCUUUUAAGCCUGGAAGGUCUGUACGAAGUGGGUUCGUAUCUCCCUCUAACUGCACUGCACUGGGACGAUCCCUUGGUGUUUGCUUAUACUGAGUGUUACCACCAUUCACGAUUUAGCAGCCUGAGUUUAAAAAAAAAAAAAA
Molecule: long non-coding RNA, 665 nt
Filed under: Rattus norvegicus (Norway rat)
Lineage: Eukaryota; Metazoa; Chordata; Mammalia; Rodentia; Muridae
Description: long non-coding RNA NONRATT018474
Source: RNAcentral